RNAcentral lists this ribosomal RNA (429 nucleotides) under Pseudomonadota bacterium. RNAcentral describes it as "Proteobacteria bacterium partial 16S ribosomal RNA". It matches the Rfam family "Bacterial small subunit ribosomal RNA", at positions 355 to 776 of the family's 1533-position model. The record is from RNAcentral. Lineage: Bacteria; Pseudomonadati; Pseudomonadota.
UGGGGAAUAUUGGACAAUGGGCGAAAGCCUGAUCCAGCCAUGCCGCGUGUGUGAAGAAGGUCUUCGGAUUGUAAAGCACUUUACGUUGGGAGGAAGGGCAGUAAGCGAAUACCUUGCUGUUUUGAUGUUACCGACAGAAUAAGCACCGGCUAACCCUGUGCCAGCAGCCGCGGUAAUACAGAGGGUGCGAGCGUUAAUCGGAUUUACUGGGCGUAAAGCGUGCGUAGGCGGCUAAUUGAGUCGGAUGUGAAAUCCCCGAGCUUAACAUGGGGAUUGCAUACGAUACUGGUUAGCUAGAGUGUGUGAGAGGAUAGUAGAAUUCCAGGUGUAGCGGUGAAAUGCGUAGAGAUCUGGAGGAAUACCGAUGGCGAAAGCAGACAUCUGGCGUAACACUGACGCUGAGGUACGAAAGCAUGGGGAGCAAACAGG